Molecule: long non-coding RNA, 261 nt
Filed under: Elaeis guineensis (African oil palm)
Lineage: Eukaryota; Viridiplantae; Streptophyta; Magnoliopsida; Arecales; Arecaceae
Description: long non-coding RNA (EGUI_LNC079325)
Source: RNAcentral
AUUCAAUCAUCUCGAAUCCAUGCAUGAUUUUCAUGAAAUUUUUUUUCAUUAAUCACACUGCUAUGGCCAUAGAUUUAAGGACUCUACUUCUUAAAUCUCAUAGGACUACUCUCUCUGCUAGGAUCGAUAGAUUCCAUCUAAGUGCACACCCUACUCCUAUUGUGGAUCAACUGUCGUCAAUAUCCACUACAAAGACUCACUGAGUCAAUAUUUAUAUGUAGUCAAACUCCAGCAGCCACACUACGAGCAGCUGUAGCACCG